Long non-coding RNA from Triticum urartu, 204 nucleotides. RefSeq lists it as uncharacterized. The record is from RefSeq and is a predicted model, not a curated record. NCBI's taxonomy places the organism in Eukaryota, Viridiplantae, Streptophyta, Magnoliopsida, Poales, Poaceae.
CUAUCAACCCGAGCCAGUUAGAGAGUACGGGGCGUUCACAGACUCCCUUAGCCCACCAGCAUGCUGCAUAUAAGGAGUUUGUCGAGCAUAGGAAUCUCGAGGUGCGGGAGUACUUGAAACGAGUGAAGGCAAACGAUGAUUACAACCGUCAGAUGAUGACGGCUAUGUUGGCGUCUUGGACUAACCACACGGAUCCACCACAAA